AUGUGUUGUCCAAGAUCAAGAAUAACGAGCACAAUUGGUCGUCUCCUCAAUGAUAUCCUAGGCCUUGAGAGGGAGAACAGGGAGAGAAACCUGGAUUAUGUCUCACUACUUGUUCUCCACAGGGGUGGUUCUAUGUCAAUUGAAACGGCUAAAGAAACGAUACAAAAGGCCAUAGCCUCAUGUAGAAAAGGCUUGCUAAAGCUGGUUCUUAGGGAAAACACAGUUGUUCCUAGGCCAUGCAAGGAGCUGUUCUGGAAGAUGUGCAAGAUAGUUCACUUGUUCUACUCUCAGAUUGAUGGAUUUAGCUCGCCAAACGAAACGGUGAGCGCGGUUCAUGCAGUUAUCAACGAGCCGCUAAAACUUCAAAUCAACAAUCGACCUUUGCCCAUGCAGACAGAAAAUUAA
This 405-nucleotide ribosomal RNA is filed under the name Triticum aestivum (bread wheat). RNAcentral's name for it is "partial small subunit ribosomal RNA". Lineage: Eukaryota; Viridiplantae; Streptophyta; Magnoliopsida; Poales; Poaceae. The record is from RNAcentral.